GGUCGAUGAUGAGCUGGCAUGUAUUCUGAAUCUGAAGUUGAUUAUUACUACUUUAGCUCUAGAAUUACUCUGAGACCUG
This is a small nucleolar RNA of Microcebus murinus (gray mouse lemur), 79 nucleotides long. Ensembl annotates it as small nucleolar RNA, C/D box 45C. Its record names the gene SNORD45C. NCBI's taxonomy places the organism in Eukaryota, Metazoa, Chordata, Mammalia, Primates, Cheirogaleidae. The record is from Ensembl.